This 438-nucleotide ribosomal RNA is filed under the name uncultured bacterium. RNAcentral's name for it is "bacterial SSU rRNA". It matches the Rfam family "Bacterial small subunit ribosomal RNA", at positions 367 to 793 of the family's 1533-position model. The record is from RNAcentral.
CACAAUGGGGGAAAACCCUGAUGCAGCCAUGCCGCGUGUGUGAAGAAGGCCUUCGGGUUGUAAAGCACUUUCAGUAGGGAGGAAGGUAGUGUAGUUAACACCUGCACUAUUUUGACGUUUACCUACAGAAGAAGCACCGGCUAACUCCGUGCCAGCAGCCGCGGUAAUACGGAGGGUGCGAGCGUUAAUCGGAAUUACUGGGCGUAAAGCGCAUGCAGGCGGCCUGUUAAGUCAGAUGUGAAAGCCCGGGGCUUAACCUCGGAAUUGCAUUUGAAACUGGCAGGCUAGAGUCUUGUAGAGGGGGGUAGAAUUUCAGGUGUAGCGGUGAAAAUGCGUAGAGAUCUGAAGGAAUACCAGUGGCGAAGGCGGCCCCCUGGACAAAGACUGACGCUCAGAUGCGAAAGCGUGGGGAGCAAACAGGAUUAGAUACCCUGGUAG